UAAUACGUAGGGUGCUAGCGUUGUUCGGAAUCAUUGGGCGUAAAGCGCGUGUAGGCGGUUAAUUAAGUCGGGUGUGAAAUCCCUAGGCUCAACCAAGGAAGUGCAUCCGAAACUGAUUAGCUAGAAGAUGGUAGAGAAAGGUGGAAUUCCAAGUGUAGAGGUGAAAUUCGUAGAUAUUUGGAGGAAUACCGGUGGCGAAGGCGGCCUUUUGGGCCAUUCUUGACGCUGAGACGCGAAAGCGUGGGUAGCAAACAGGAUUAGAUACCCUGGUAGUCCACGCCGUAAACGAUGGGUACUAGAUGUUGGAGGAAUUGACCCCUCCAGUGUCGUAGCUAACGCAUUAAGUACCCCGCCUGGGAAGUACGGCCGCAAGGUUA
RNAcentral lists this ribosomal RNA (377 nucleotides) under uncultured bacterium. Its description in RNAcentral is "bacterial SSU rRNA". It matches the Rfam family "Bacterial small subunit ribosomal RNA", at positions 521 to 896 of the family's 1533-position model. The record is from RNAcentral.